This 788-nucleotide ribosomal RNA is filed under the name uncultured archaeon. Its description in RNAcentral is "bacterial SSU rRNA". It matches the Rfam family "Archaeal small subunit ribosomal RNA", at positions 85 to 876 of the family's 1478-position model. The record is from RNAcentral.
ACGGCUCAGUAACACGUGGAUAACCUGCCCAAGGGUCCGGGAUAACCCCGGGAAACUGGGGAUAAUACCGGAUGGAUCACUAGUGCUGGAAUGCUUGGUGGUCGAAAGGUGACGCCCUUGGAUGGGUCUGCGGCGGAUUAGGUUGACGCCGGUGUAACGUACCGGCGUGCCUGUAAUCCGUACGGGUUGUGGGAGCAAGAGCCCGGAGAUGGAUUCUGAGACACGAAUCCAGGCCCUACGGGGCGCAGCAGGCGCGAAAACUCUACAAUGCAGGCAACUGCGAUAGGGGGACAUCGAGUGGCAUCCACCUUGGGUGCCUGUCCAACCGUCUAAAAAACGGUUGUUAGCAAGGGCCGGGUAAGACCGGUGCCAGCCGCCGCGGUAAUACCGGCGGCUCGAGUGGUGGCCGAUAUUAUUGAGUCUAAAGGGUCCGUAGCCGGCUUUGCAAGUCCCCUGGGAAAUCCAGCGGCUUAACCGUUGGGCUUUCAUGGGAUACUACAUUGCUUGGGACUGGGAGAGGUAGGAGGUACUCGGGGGGUAGGGGUGAAAUCCUGUAAUCCUCCGGGGACCACCGGUGGCGAAGGCGUCCUACCAGAACAGGUCCGACGGUGAGGGACGAAAGCUAGGGGCACGAACCGGAUUAGAUACCCGGGUAGUCCUAGCCGUAAACGAUGCCCGCUAGGUGUCACGACGGUCGUGAAUCGUCGUGGUGCCGUAGGGAAGCCGCGAAGCGGGCCACUUGGGAAGUACGGCCGCAAGGCUGAAACUUAAAGGAAUUGGCGGGGGAG